UGGGGAAUCUUCCGCAAUGGACGAAAGUCUGACGGAGCAACGCCGCGUGAGUGAUGAAGGUUUUCGGAUCGUAAAACUCUGUUGUUAAGGACGAAUGUAUAGAUUGUGAAUAAUGGUUUAUAAUGACGGUACUUAACGAGGAAGCCACGGCUAACUACGUGCCAGCAGCCGCGGUAAUACGUAGGUGGCAAGCGUUGUCCGGAAUUAUUGGGCGUAAAGGGAGCGCAGGUGGGAAUGUAAGUCAAUCUUAAAAGUGCGGGGCUCAACCCCGUGAUGGGAUAGAAACUACAUUUCUUGAGUGCAGGAGAGGAAAGUGGAAUUCCUAGUGUAGCGGUGAAAUGCGUAGAUAUUAGGAGGAACACCAGUGGCGAAGGCGACUUUCUGGACUGUUACUGACACUGAGGCUCGAAAGCUAGGGGAGCGAACG
This 427-nucleotide ribosomal RNA is filed under the name uncultured bacterium. Its description in RNAcentral is "partial 16S ribosomal RNA". It matches the Rfam family "Bacterial small subunit ribosomal RNA", at positions 355 to 774 of the family's 1533-position model. RNAcentral also lists the same sequence under 2 other names. The record is from RNAcentral.